CCUACGGGUGACAGCAGUAGGGAAUAUUGCUCAAUGGGGGAAACCCUGAAGCAGCAACGCCGCGUGGGGGAUGAAGGGUUUCGGAUUGUAAACCCCUUUUGGUAGGGAAGAUAAUGGCGGUAUCUAACGAAUAAGCCCCCGCUAACUCCGUGCCAGCAGCCGCGGUAAUACGGAGGGGGGAAGCGUUACUCGGAAUCACUGGGCGUAAAGGGCGCGUAGGCGGGAUAGCAAGUCAGAUGUGAAAUCCUAUGGCUUAACCAUAGAACUGCAUUUGAAACUGUUAUUCUAGAGUUUGGGAGAGGUAGGUGGAAUGCGUGGUGUAGCGGUAAAAUGCGUAGAUAUCAAGAGGAAUACUCAUUGCGAAGGCGACCUGCUAGAACAUAACUGACGCUGAUGCGCGAAAGCGUGGGGAGCAAACAGGAUUAGAUACCCCUGUAGUC
RNAcentral lists this ribosomal RNA (440 nucleotides) under uncultured bacterium. RNAcentral describes it as "partial 16S ribosomal RNA". It matches the Rfam family "Bacterial small subunit ribosomal RNA", at positions 338 to 795 of the family's 1533-position model. The record is from RNAcentral.